CCAAUGGAUGGCCAAUUGUUUCUCAUAAAGCAUCUUCUUAUCUUGAGGGAGCAGAUUGCACCUUUCGAUAUUGAGUUUUCAGUGACACACAAGGAACUUGACUUCUCUCAUUUGCUGGAUCAUUUAAGACGGCUACUUCGAGGUCAAGCCUCUCUAUUUGAUUGGUCUAGAUCUUCUUCCCUGGCGAGGACCUUAUCACCCAGAGUUUUGGAAAGUCAAAUAGAUGCUAAGAAGGAACUGGAGAAAAGUCUGAAGGCCACUUGUGAGGAAUUCAUCAUGUCUGUCACUAAGCUAGUUGUU
Long non-coding RNA from Humulus lupulus (European hop), 300 nucleotides. RefSeq lists it as uncharacterized. Lineage: Eukaryota; Viridiplantae; Streptophyta; Magnoliopsida; Rosales; Cannabaceae. The record is from RefSeq and is a predicted model, not a curated record. The transcript is spliced from 4 exons.